UAACCUGCCUUAUAGUGGGGGAUAGCCUUUCGAAAGGAAGAUUAAUACCGCAUAAGAUUGUAGUAUCGCAUGAUAUAGCAAUUAAAGGAGCAAUCCGCUAUAAGAUGGACCCGCGUCGCAUUAGCUAGUUGGUGAGGUAAUGGCUCACCAAGGCGACGAUGCGUAGCCGACCUGAGAGGGUGAUCGGCCACAUUGGGACUGAGACACGGCCCAGACUCCUACGGGAGGGCAGCAUG
Molecule: ribosomal RNA, 236 nt
Filed under: uncultured bacterium
Lineage: Bacteria
Description: partial 16S ribosomal RNA
Rfam family: Bacterial small subunit ribosomal RNA
Source: RNAcentral